RNAcentral lists this ribosomal RNA (627 nucleotides) under Grammothele sp. Its description in RNAcentral is "eukaryotic LSU rRNA". The stretch from base 236 to 389 matches the Rfam family "5.8S ribosomal RNA". The record is from RNAcentral. Lineage: Eukaryota; Fungi; Basidiomycota; Agaricomycetes; Polyporales; Polyporaceae.
UUUCCGUAGGUGAACCUGCGGAAGGAUCAUUAACGAGUUUGAACGGGUUGUAGCUGGCCUUCAGAGGCAUGUGCACGCCCUGCUCAUCCACUCUACACCUGUGCACUUACUGUGGGUUUCGAUAGUCGUUGCGAGGCGACCUUCCAGUCGUCUUUGCGCGGUGAUUCGGGGCUCACGUUUUAUUACAAACGCUUCAGUAUCAGAAUGUAAACCGCGAUAUAAACGCAUCAUAUACAACUUUCAGCAACGGAUCUCUUGGCUCUCGCAUCGAUGAAGAACGCAGCGAAAUGCGAUAAGUAAUGUGAAUUGCAGAAUUCAGUGAAUCAUCGAAUCUUUGAACGCACCUUGCGCUCCUUGGUAUUCCGAGGAGCAUGCCUGUUUGAGUGUCGUGAAAUUCUCAACCUACAAACCCUUGCGGUUCUGUAGGCUUGGACUUGGAGGCUUGCCGGCUCCUAGUGGUCGGCUCCUCUCAAAUGCAUUAGCUCGAUUUCCUUGCGGAUCGGCUUUCGGUGUGAUAAUUGUCUACGCCGUGACCGUGAAGCGUUUGGAGGGCUUCUAACCGUCUCGUGAGAGACAGCUUCAUUGACAUCUGACCUCAAAUCAGGUAGGACUACCCGCUGAACUUAA